Mesocricetus auratus (golden hamster) is the source of this 25217-nucleotide long non-coding RNA. RefSeq lists it as uncharacterized. The transcript is spliced from 9 exons. The record is from RefSeq and is a predicted model, not a curated record. NCBI's taxonomy places the organism in Eukaryota, Metazoa, Chordata, Mammalia, Rodentia, Cricetidae.
ACCAUUGUCCUCCCUCUCCUCUUCCUUCUCUCUUAAUAGAGAGACUACACCUCCUCCUACUGUCAAGAUGGAGCAUACAGAUUUGGUAGCUGUCAUUUCAGCAACCAUUUUGGUUUGUGGAGUCAUCUAAAGAAAGCCAAGUUCCAGAUGGCAGAUCAGAAACUCAAGUGCCUGAUAUCCUGGUGAUAGUUUGGGGCUGCCCCUCCAGCCCACACAGCCAGUGCCAGACUUCUCUCUAACCUAAGUUGCCAUUGCUUUUGCUCCCUCAUGGGAAGGCCGAUCUAAGAAUAGGUGGUUUGGAGUGACAGGUACAGGAGGGAGACAGGAAGGGGAGGUACCCAGGAAGGGGUGGUAUUAGAGGAAAGUAUCACAUAUCCACAAUAACAACCUGCUUUUGCUAAUGCUGACUAAGGGAUCCCCCUUACCUGAGCCCCCUCAUUUAAUCCCCACCAAAUGCUGCAAUGAGGACAUCCUUAGGUCUGUGGCUUUCCACAGUUAAUAGUGUGGACAUGAAGCCUCAGGACAGACAUGUCUUCGAGGCCACUGAGCUGGGAGGCCAGUUCCAAACCCUAGUCUGUUAGACUCGAGGACAACCCCUUCCAUUUCCACCCCACCUGGGCUCAAGAUGCUGUGCAGAUGUGAAAGCCAGAGAGUGGUCCCGCGGCAGAGCUGUGGCUUUGUGUCACUGUGAAAGUGAAAGAAGCGCUUCAGAGAAGGAAGCAGCCUGGCCGGAAGACCUUACUUUGAACUGUAUAUUUUCUUUGGGGGACAGAGCAUAGAGACAUCAACAAUUGCAGCAACCCUACCUAGACUCACCAGAGGCUGCUCAGUGGUACGUGGAUUCUGUGGAUUCCGCUUUCUCUGGGGUACUUCUCGUAAUUUAGAAAUGCUUGACGCUGCGGAAGACAGCCCCGCCCUCUGCAUCAUUCAAAAGAAAACUCAGACACAGAGGCGGGCUCUUGGUUCCUGCACAGAAACAUUUAGUAGUUUUUAAAAGUUAGAGAGCCGCAUCUUUGAUUGCAUUCCUUGGUGCUUUGGCUCUUGUGGUCUAGCCUUUCUUUGAUGACCAAGUCACCGAGGUCCUCACAUGCUUAGGACACACGUGCUCCUAACAAGCCGCUCAGAAUAGACCAUGAUUUUAGAUGAGGACUAUGUGUAGAAGAAACUAUGAGAGGAAAUGGGUGUUAUCAGAGCAAGCAAACCCAGAUGCCUUUACAAAACGACAAAAAUCGAUUUUUUUUCCUCUGCUGUGAGCCACUGUAGAAAGCCAGUGUGAAACGGCAUCCAUGUGCAUUUGACACUCAAUUACAUGUGAGAGCUCUGCUGUCCCUGAGUCUGCUAAACAAAACCCUCUUCCCUGGUGAGGGUGAUCGAUGGCUGUGAGCCGGAGGCUGUCACUGCCAGGGUCUGGGAAGUUGCUCUUCCGGAAGGGUGGUGGAGACCCUGGGAAUCUGACCAGCCCUGCUCACAAGUAUGAAGAGAAUGUCGGGAGAGGAAGUGGUGACUGUGAGUCAGCAUGAGUCAUCUGGUUCCAGUGACAAUGAAGGCUGAGGUGUGCGCCUUUUUCUUUUUCUUGUCUUUUUUUUUUUUCUUAAUCAUGUGGACAUCUCUGAGAAUGAAGGGGACUCAGUGACUUUACAAUGGCUGCUUUCUAAGUUUCCAAGUGACUCUGCAGGCAAGCCGUGCACGUCUUGGGAUCUUCACAGCACAGUGGCUGGGAAGGUGGGGCCACCAUUCAUCAGCUUCUCCCGAAUAACUGGGAGCUGAAACAGGAAGCCCCAUGACACAGUUGAUCGAAAAUGACACAGACACAGAGAAAUCAGGAUGUCCCCCCAGCAGCACCUCUACCUGCUGCCUGCUGAUUGCAACUAGAAGGCAGGUGAAGGGUUUCCCUCUCUGGGAAUGGACUCUAACUACUGAGGGUUCUGGUGGACCUCCAUGCUCACUGGUGAUGGGCCUACAGUGUUUUCGAUGAUAGUCUUCCGUUGGUUUCCCACUUAUUGGGUCCUCACUCAUGUCUUGAUCUUUACUUCAUUAAAAGCAAAACUAAAGAAAAUGGAAUAGUCUGUUAAUUAGCCGUACAGAAACACUAAGGAUGCUAAGCUUGAACUUAAGUUAGCUUUCUCCAAGGCUACGUGUCAAGAUUGCCAUAACCACAUAGAUCACCACAGCAUCUUUAAAAAGUGCGCUGAGCUUGGAUCUCAGUACUUAGCCAUAUCUGUUCUGUUUUUGAUUCCAUUCUAGAUCUCUCUGGAGUCACUGUUGGCAGGCCCACAGUUGAGAGCAUUGGGAUCUGUCCAUGUUCAUCUGGUCACAGCUGAUAACUGGCCUAGAGCUUGCCUUCAGCUUUGAGCUGCAAUGGGAAACUCCCACUCUCCCUCCCCCCAUCCCCCCUCCACCUCCACAUACAUCACUGAUUUGAAGAUUCAAUACAUAAUGAUUUCUUAUGGAGUCUACUGGGUGCUAUGUUCUAGAGACAAGAUGUGCUAGCCUCUCCCCCUACCUCCCUGACAUGUGUAGUCUACUUAUAAGCUUGGCUCAAGAAGUGAAGGACUACGUAUCUCAUGGAUGUUUCAUCCAGAUGUCCUGAUUUUCCAAAUCCAUUCCUCAAAUCUUGUGGCUGGCACUCCAAUAUCCUCUGAGAUGGCUAGUCAUUCCUUCUACAGAGUCCUCAUCUCAUCCCCAAAUGUAAGAUGAAUGCAUUCAUCAUCCUGGGAAUGUAGCCAAAGAGGCCAUUUAUAGUCACCUUCCAAGAGUCUAUUAGUUUUCACUUGUAAGCGUAGCAGAAAUCCAAGGAUAACUCAGUGGCUGUGCUCACUACUUUAUACUCUCAAUAUCAGUUUGCUAAUUGGUCAUGGGGCUCAUCACAGAGGCCCUGUGUGAAUGGCCCAGGGACAUCAUCCGGUUCUCGCCCAAAUGCUGAGACUCUGGGAAGCCUCCCUGAACACCAAGUCCUGAGAGACAUCAUUACCCCUUCCAUUUCGUGUCCCUUAUUUUCUGCAUAGGGCUUAACUAGUAUUAGAAGUGACCUUCAUAGUUUGUUUAUUAUUUCUGCAUCUCACUGUCCUCUCCAGUUUCCUCUUUACAGAGACAGAUGUGCUGUCUUAUCCCCAAGUCUGUCCACAGCAUCUGGCACUCAGCACAGCAGACAUGUGCUACCUAAGUCAAUCAUCUCGUUGCUUCUCAGCAACAGGAGUAUUUGUAUUCUAACCACAUGGUGAAGCUAAGCCUCCAUCUCUGCAGCUGGUUGCUGGAGCAGUAGGGUGAGGAUCCUGUCCAUCCUUCAAACCCCUGCUCAGCAGAAGGGGUGAGACACAAGCCCUCCACUGUCUUCAUACCUGGAUGCUCAUCAGAACCAAUCUUCUUCUUGCUUGUCUGCCCUGAAGUUUGUUUAAUUAUAUUCCAGGAAAAUCAAAACCCAUUGAGUUGUGGAAGAAAUUAAGUCUCCAGUGGGGUGUCUGCAGCAGUAGCUUUCCCCAGCAGAAAGCCCUGAGACCUUAUCUCCUGUGCUAGCUCCAUUUGUCUGGGCUCUCCAAGAGAAGGGAGCAAUAUGGAGGGAUCACACAGGGAGUGGAGACAAAGUCCCAGGAAGUGACAAGGAGCUUAGACCCGUGUGUGUGCCCUGCAGAGGUUCACACAGUCCUCUCUGGGCAGACCCCUACCCUGAAGCAUGGGCUCCCACUAGUAGGCAUGUCUACCCAGAUAUCCUUCCCUUUAUGUGUUCUCAAACAGAGCACAGCCCCGCCCCCUCUGCUCAUCGCCCACCUCUACUCACAGGGUGUUUAUGGCCUCAACAGAAGACUGGGAUUCACAGGGUCCAGAAGGACCAGAAAUGAUCUGUACAGCAGUCAUGGGAUAAUUCACUCAUAAGGAUAGUAAGAGAAAAAGCAAAACAGAACCGACUAUAUAAUUUUAGAUGCUUUUAGGACAAAAUUCUGACCCUCACCAGAGAGUGGAAUUACUCAUGAAUAAUAUAUGGAAAAACCAACAAAACCCCUCAACAUCCAGGAUUCACCUGGAUUUAAAGCAUCAGAAUUUGGAAAUAGGAAACACAAGGAACAAACACUGAUAUUUUGAAAUUCUCCACAGGCAUUUAAAAUUUUUUAUCUGAUUAUUUUGUGUAUGUAAGUUUUUUGCCUGUGUGCAUGUCUGUGUACCACAUGGGUGCCUGAUAUAUGAAGAAAUCAGAAGAGCAUGUUGGAUCCCUGGGACUGGAGUUACAGACCAUUGUGAACCUCCAGUGGGGGCUGGAAAUCAAACCUGGGUCCUCUGGAAGAGCAAGUGCUUUUAACCACUGAGCCAACACAAGCAUGUUUAAUGCUAAGUCAAGACUGAGCAACACUAGUCUACCUUGUCUGUUACAGUAUCCUUCAGUUGAUGUGGCCACUGGACAUUUAAUAGAACCGAGGAUAUGUAUAUUAUUAUUAAUUGUAUUAUAAAUUAUAAUAUAAAUACUAUACUACUUCUAUUACAAAUUAUUAUCAGUAUAUUAUAUACAUUUGAUGUAGCUGCUAGACAAUCUAGAACCACCUUGUCUGUUACUGUAUCCUUCAGCCGAUCUGGCCCCUGGACAUUUAAGAUAACUGAAGAUCUCAAUUUUUAAUUGCUUUUGACUUCAGUUCAUAUAAGCCGAGUGUCUCCUGUGGCUGCAGCUGUCGUAUUGAACAAUUCAGAAGAGAAUAUAUACACACAUACAUAUCAUGGAAAGGCAAUGUCAUGAGAAGCAUAGGAGCUAGCCUGGCACAUGGGAGCAGGGAGCCCUACCGUAAGGGAAACUCUGGUGGACCCGGGAAGAGUUUGAGCUAGCUCUCUGCUGGUUAAGUUUGCAAAUGCCUGCCCUCUUACCUCAAGCAUCUAUCUAUAUUCUGAGCCAGAGUUUAGGCAGCAGCAAAGGAAAUGUUCUCUGCACUCAACGACUGAAAAGAACUUAAAAUAUCCCACACAGAGUCCAAGACCUGUCCUUUGGUGUUCAUUUGAGACAAUUCUCACAUCUGCCUCUUUGGAGACCCAGGCAUGGAAAGGGAACCUUCUAGACCACCCGUGGAAUUACUGUAAUGUGAGAAAUUAAGACGUUUUGGAGAAGAGAGGUAGAAGUGUUGCCACCACAGAGUCACAGCUUUUGAAAUGGGCUCAGGUCAAGCUGGAGAGACCACCCCGGUUCUAUUCCUAGGCCCCACAUGGUACUCACAGCCAUCUGCAACUCAGUGGCUCCGACAACCUCUCCUGGCCUCUGUGGGCGUCACACUUACCUUACGCACAUACAUGCAGGAAAGCACACCUAUACACAGAAAAUGUACUUAGUUUAAAAAAGUAAUGGGUUCAGGGAGAGGGUUGAGCCAGCUCUGGCAGCAUGGGUUUAGAGAUGAAGAGAGAGACGCCAAAGCUGAAUCAUUUUCUUCUUAUCACUCAGAGACUGUCAGAUUUCUUUCUAUUUUUUUUUUAAGUUGUAGGGAAAGCACCUUAGACAGAGAAUAAUACUAUGUAGAAUUUCAGAGCUUUCCCUUUUUAAGCACUUUAUCAUCUUGGGUUUACUUUGCUCUCACACAGAGGCCCUCAGAUCUACAGGGGAGGGAUUCAGAAUGUCACUCGAGUGUCCCUAAAAGGAGUUCAGGCUUAAGGAAAGAAUUAAAAGGUGAAGGUUUGGUUUUUCGCAAUCUUGGGCACACUUAAAUGCCUAGUGUCACAGCCUCGAGAACACGUUCAGAGAUUUUUUUUAAACCCCUACAUAGGUUGUGUUUUUUAAUCAGCCUGCCCAUGAUGUAUUGAGUUUCACCACUCUCUUCUCAUCCUCAGCCCUUGAAUUAGAUGUUUUCUUCCUCAGAGCUUUGUGUGACCUGCAAGUUUAGUAAAUAUGCCUUCUGUGUCUCCUUGCAAGUUAUUUUAAAAAGUGAUAGGUGAUAUAAAACACAGGCAAGAGUCAUGCCGGUCUCAGCGAAGCCCAUGCCUCUCAAGGGCACCCCUGGCAUCCAACCUCAGGCUAAUGCUGUCACCACUCAACCUCCUGGUGGGUGGGGUGGCAGUCAUUCCAGACCACACUUGACUGUGAAUCUGAGAUCUCCUGAGUGAGUGGUGGCCUGGCCAACAGGUCAACAGGACUGACAUGAGGUCAUGAGCUGGCUUUCUCUAGGCAUGUUUUGUCUGGGCAAUUAUGAAUCCUGGCCUCACUGACAUCUAGCCCAUCUUGAACCGUACAUAGAUAGGAUAGGAGGAGAGCUUUUCAUAUGCUUUACUGAAAGCAAGACACACUUUCUGGGCAUUCCCCUAAUCGCCUGUGCUGGUGCAGCUCGUCAAAACAGGAAAUGAGGUUAGCAUGGAAUGACUUUCUCUCAGAGAACUUACGUUGCCUCCUAAAGACCACCAGGUUCUCCCCCAAAAUCUUGUGGUUCAGUUUCACUCCUCCCCUGGGCUUUCCUAGAAAUGGGAGAGUAUCUGGUUUUCUGUAGGAUUUGGAAUAUAGGUUCCUUUGGGAAACAAUUAUUCCCAGUCUUUCAACUCUUUCCUCUCCCUCCCAGAUCAGUAUCUCUGAAAUGUUUGCAGGUUGGUGUGAAGCUAGAUCUGCAUAUGUGCCAACCACAGCAAGACUGUGGUUAAACCAAGGGCUUUGUGUACAUCUGAGGCAGAAGGGUUCACGUGUGGCAUGGGCUUUAGGCAGCUCCUUCCAGCGGGGCUCUUUGAUCCCAUGUUUUCACAAAAAUGCCAGGAAGAGAAAGCAAGCCUGUGCGUGCGUGCGUGUGUGCGUGAAAACAUCCAUGGGAAGAAUCUCUUCCCCUCCCCUGCUCCAUAGGGGGCAUUUCAGGGCAGAAGGAGCUAGGCUGUCUCCUUUCAAAUGGAAGCCUACUGAGUUCUUGGAUGAAGUUGUCAAGAGAGAUGAAAGUCUGGCAGUCUUGGCGGGGUCCCUUGGUUAUCUUUGCUGAGGCCUUUGACAAAUGGCUCUGGUUGAACUUUCUAGAACCACAUAUCUUUUCUUAAUACUAACAUACUUUUAAGGUCAGUUGAGGGAAAGUGUGGCCUUGACUCAUAAUGACUAAGACAGAUGAUAGUCUCCUAAUAUUAGACUUGAUUUACCUCUUGGCAUCCACCCACCCACUGUCUGGGUUCUCACUUUGGUAAUCAUGGGUGUGUUUCUUUUUAUACUUGACUUAGGAUCUCAAAAGCCAGUCUGAUUUCAAGGCUGGAAUGGAUCUCAGAUGGCCACUCUUCUGAAGACCAGGUCUAUCUCAGAGGCCCUGUGUGUGGAGUGUCUUCAUAGACAGGGUUGUAGACUUUCUAGCAAUCAUCCCGGCUACCCAGGCUCUGGCUCUUCUGGUGGCUUCCAACAUUAGUUCAGUCUCUUUACAGGCCCCGGAGGCAGUACUGUUAUCUUCAUUUAGGUUAAGGAAACUGAGGUUUCGCAAGAGUCAGUUCACCUCCUGUCACAAAGCUGACACAUGAUGGCGUGCCUUGGCUUGAAAUCCAAAGUAUCUGGCCUCAGUGCAGUUGUCUGCCAUGCAGCCCUUCAAAAGGCCCGUGCAUGGCCACUGACAUGGAGACAUAACUGCAAGCUCAAUGACCUGUGCAGUUCUAGGCUCUCCUUGCUGAGUCAAAAUGGUAGAGGACCCAGCUUUGAGCACCGGCUACUGGGGGACUUAAGGAGGGCAAAGGCCAUGUCUGCUCUUGAUUCUUCAGGGUUCUAGGCUGAGUGGUGGAGUGGCCAGUCAGACAGAGGCUCCUGGGCUACAUGUAGGCAGCUGAUUAGGGUGGGAGAAACUGUGAGAAUCAGUGGCAAUACAGAGACAGGGAUGGAGUGGUAAACUAUGAAAAAUCUUCUAUACAAGCCAUUGCUGGUGUCUAAGGAUUGCAAGCAAGAUUAAAGAAAAACAAACCAUCAACAGUGGUUACUGAUCUGCAGUCAUCACUCCAUACCAACCACUACCCUGACAUUUUGUUCUUCUAGGCCUUUCUAGAUGUCUGCAGUCCCCAACUUGCUCAGGAUGACUUGUUCAUGCCUAUUAGAAAUUAAUAUUUCUCAGUUAGUCACUGACCAGCCAUUCAUGCUAGAGAGGUCCUGGUCUGAGCAGGGCUAACCUGCUGCUAUGCAAACCUUUCCUCAGGCUAUCUCAGGCUUCCGCCAAGCUGGUUUCUUAUUUCACCUACCAGUUACUUUGCAAACAGUAGCCUCUUAACACCACAUUGUCCUUUUAAAAGGGAGCAGGCUCCCCAGAAACUUACCUGUUACCUGCAGGCUUGCCUCAGAAGAAGCCAAGCCCACUUUGAGGCAUAAGAAUGAGUGUGAGCAACUAAUUGUGUGUGUGUGUGUGUGUGUGUGUGUGUGUGUGGUCAUAUGAGUAUUUUGCAUGUGUACAUGUGACAUAGGUUGUGAUGCAUAUGAUGCUGCUGCCUGUGUGUUUGGUGUCUUCAGAAUAGAUGUCUAUGGUGUAUGUGUGGGUAUCUCUGUGUGAUACAUAUCUGCAGCGUGUGUAUACUUGGGUAUAUUUACACACGCAUGAAUAUGUGAUUGGGUUCAUGGGUGGAUGUGAAUGUAGACAUCUGUGCAUCUGUGGUAUGUGUGUGUGUGUGUGUCUAGAUAUGUGUGACACAUGUGUAAUGUGGAUGUUGGUAUGUGAAGUUCAUGUAUGUGGUAUCUGUGCACUAUGUAUAAAUAGAUAUGGCUUCUGUGGUACACGGUGUCUGUGAUAGGUAUGAACACAUUUGGUGGAUAUGUACAAUAUAGCUAUGUGUAUGUGUGAUGUGCAUGUGGAGUAGUGGUGCCAGAUUCUUGCUUUGCAAAUCCACAAAGUAGAGAAGAUAUUGCCUAGCAACCACAUUGGCAUAGGAAGAUCUCUGUGCUAAUGUGUUAGCUCUGAGCAAAACAACUGACAUAAAUGCAGAGGCUCACCAUGCUGACCACCAUACAUAUUGUUUACUUUAACUCACCAAAUUAUUUAUUUUGAAAAAUGAAUAUAUAGAAAAUAGUAGACAUGUGUCAGCAGUAAACUAUUCUCCUGGACUCUAAGGACCUGAGUUAUGAUGUAUAACAUCACCAGGGAGAAGAUAGUACCACACUCUCAGAAGAAACAGUGCUGAGUGAGAGAACAGGCAGACUGUGGCCAUCCUGCUUCUCCUGCCUGUGUCAGGGACAAGGACAGCUCCCGCUCUACAGAACCUUUCGCUUUAAUGUAAAUAUUUUGAAAUCUUUCUUUUCCUGAACCUUUAACCUGGCUGGUAAAUAGGGCGCAAACAGUAAAUUGAUUGUUUUCUGAGAACUAACUUUUGAGGAAAUAGGAAGGGAUAAAAAGCUUUUUUAUGUAAUGGUCAGUCUCUUGCAUGGUUGAAAACCUUAGUAUUCUUUUUAACCCUGCUUCAGAAGGCUCUGGGUCACCAAAACAAAAAGACUUAAUUUUAAUUUAUGGAAAUUAAAGUGAUUGAAAUGUGUAAAUGUACCCAUUCAAAGAGAGCAAAAUCUACAGACAAAGGGUGAGGCCAUCUUAUCUGGAGAAGAUCUCUGAUAAAACAGGAUGGAACAAUAUACAAACAAAAAUUUUUUAAAAAUCCGAGCUUCGAUUUUGACCUCUUUUUUCAGAAAAUGAGUAGGAAGAAUGAGCAACGUUGGGGCUAGUUGUGAAGAACAGUCGGGCGAAACUUUCCUUUCCCAUUGGAUCUGGUCCUACCAUCACUGUCUGUCUUCCAUCCUCUCAUAAAUUCUGAGAUUAUGACAGAAGAAAAGAUCAAACUGUCAGUCCCAUUUUCAGUGCCAAAGGCUUCACCCUUCUUUCUUUAGGCAGGAGGCUGAAGAAGAUGGCUGCCUGGAGUCACUCUGUAAGAUUGUAAGAUUGUUUUGUGAGAACAGCAGGGCCUACCCCAAAACUAGAUUCCAGGAUAGCUUCCCCUGGGAAAGCUUUCUUUAUAUCUGCCAUGCAGUUUUACUGUUCCCUGAGUAUAGAGUUUCUUGAUUUUCAAGAUUCACGGAGUUGCUGUCCAAACACAAGAUCCUUAAUGUGCUUUGGAAUUGUUGGUGGGGGAGAGAAGUUUUUCUAACCUGAGUCAAGGUAAAGUCUCACCCUCACUGUAGCAGAUGAGGGUGAGUUCAAAGGUCACCAGAGUCAACUGGGGCCUCUGGGCCUCACUCUCUCCUCACCCCACAGCAUCUGUGCCCAUUCAGCUAAUUCUGGCAGAAUCAGUUUUUCAAAGGAUGUUCCUAUUGGAAGGUAAACUGGGGGUAUUGUGAAUUCAUCUUUCAAGGAUGUUCCUCUUGGAAGGUAAACUGAGAGUAUCGUAAAUGCAUCUUUCAAUUCUUUGAUGGAGGCAGAAGAGAAAAAGGAAGCAGAAAAGACGAGAUGAGUCACGCUACCUUGUUUAAAGAUGGAUUGAACUAAACCGCAAGUGUGUUAGAAACAGGCAGAUGGCCAGAAGCCUGCUGCUCACGCUCAUCUUCAUCUCCAUCCUCCUCCUAUUUCCCCUUCAGAACAGAUGAAAGAUUCAGCUAAAUCCCAAGUGAGGCUGUUGUGGGAAAGCUUGGAAAAUGGGAUCCCUUGUUUUUCUGAAGUCACCAGCAAUCAGUGCUCAGAACUGAAACCACGAAGGACCUGAAAGCAAAACAAGUGCAUUGGAGGCUUCGCUGAGGGAUCCCCUGUGUUCCUUGUGGCAUGGCAACAGCAGCCAUGUGUGGUGGGUGGCAUUGUCUCCAUGUUCUCCCUGUGAGCCAGCAGAGGCUAAUGGACUUACGGAAGGUGCUAUAAUGACUAACCUCCAUUGUCAACUUGACUGAACCUGGAAUCAGGUAAAACCCAAGCCUUGGGACACUGCUGUAAGGGAUUUUCUUACCAGAUUAUGUGGGGCAGGAAGAGCCUCCGAAUCCAGGCCUCUGGUGGCAGGGCCACAUAGAAGGAAAUGGAAGAAGAAAACUUGGCUCUUUGCCUGCCUGACCUCACUUCCUCUGGCAAGACUAUUUAUCCUGUUUCUACGGCAUUUCUUCACCAAUAUUAGGACUGAUUUCUUUGGGAUUCCAAUACAGACUGAAGACAGUGUCUCUCCAGGAUUCCACAUUGAGACAGUGAGACAUCCACCCUCGUGGACUGAGCAAAUACCUGAAUCUUAGCCUUUCCAGUAUGAAGAGGCCAUUGCUGGAUUACCUGAACUGCAUCCUGUAAGCAACAGAAUAAAUCCCGAUUAUAUUCUCUGUUUUGGAGAACCCCGCGUAACACACUUGCCCAUGGCUCUGAGCCCUGCUCUGGUUUUGAGUUCAGUAGUAAUAAUCAGUAGACUCACAUUCAUUGUCUAGCACUCAUUCUCACACACGUGUGCACGCAUGCAACCUCAUCUACACGUGCAUCAACACUGGAUCCACCCUCAGUGGAACCUGGAUUGUAGAGAUUUAGGAUAUAAAUUCCUCUUGCUGUCAAGGCUUUAUAGAAUCAAACUUUCAAGUGAGUUUUGAUUUUUCAGCAAAGUUUUGUUCAAAUGGCCAGCUGGUAGUUAUCUUAGAUGUGUAGGCCCUUCGGUCUGUUACAGCUGCUCUAUCAUGCCACUGUAGCAUAGCAACAGCCAGAGGUGAUGCAUGGAGGAGAGCCACUGUGUUCUAAUAAAAUGUUAUGUAAAAAAAAGUCGGAUAAGCUAAGCUAGUAAUUUGGGGCAGUAGGCAAUAGUUUGAGACCCCAUAGUUUUCACCUCAAGACAUCAUUGAAAGUGAUACCAGCACCCUAGCAUUUUAGACAUAGGGUUUGUUCAACCUACCAGAAGUGAACUUGGGGGAAGGGUCCUUGCAGUCAGGCAGAAGUGUGGGGACAGUGUGGCCACUCACCCUCCAGGUAGCCCAGGUCCCCCAGCAGUCUACAGAGCACAACAAUGUGAGAGCCCAGUCCCAGUGCCUUGUGUACCUAGCCUGCUUCCUGGUCCUGCCUCUACCUGACCCAUGCAGCAAAGAUGUCCAGGCACCUCUUACCACAGUGAGCAGACCAGGAAACAGGCAGGCAAGGGGCAGUUGGCAGUGCAACCCUGACUCACUUUACCACCCAAGACAACCCAUCCAACCUCUCUGAGCCUCACUUUCUCCUUUGGUAUAUGGGGGGUACUUUGGAUCUUGCCCUAUGGCGAUGUAGAGGAGAGGAGAAGAAAGGUCUGGACAAGUCUAAGUAGCUUGGCUACUUAGAAGGGACCUUGACUCACUUUGUGGUAAGCAGCAUAGUCUCUGGCUCAGGUUCUGGUACCUGCGGGCCAUGCUCAACGUCAUUCAUAUCCCUCAGGCCAGGCGUGGUCCUUCCUUGGCUCUCCUGUGUCACUCACACACAGCUUGACAAGAAGUUCCAGACUCCUCACUACUUAGAUGGGGAAACUGAGGCACUGAAUUUAAGCAAUGCCACAAUACAUGGAGGGAAGUUCUGGUACUGGUAUUUUUCCCUCCUGACCACCGGUAUGCUAGGUCUUGGUGGGUCUGUUACUUACUGGACAGGGAGGUGCUCUAGAUGCGGAGGAUGCUGGGGUAUGGUCACGCUUCCUAUGGACUAUGCCUGUACCUCCAGUAUCAGCUACCCUGAGAAUGGCAUACCCAGGUCAUUGGUCCCUCUUAGACCCCUGGGUCCCCAAGGCCCUGGACGUUCAAAGCAGACACAGUGAGAGCUGGGGUGUGCAGGGGCCAGUGGAGGAGGACGGUAGCACCACCACUGUCUAGAGAUGGCUCUGCACUUGUCUCAUCUCCCUGCCCUUGAAGUGAGUGGGGCAGUCAGGGCAGAAGAGCAAAUGUGGCGCCCAACCCCUGAAAUGGUGCUCCAACCCCUGAUGGAUGCCCCUUUUGCCUGCUUCCCAAGCUUGGGAACAGGGGCUCUGGCGUAGAGCUGUGCCCCUCACCGGGAAGUGAGAGCCUAUUUCAGUUCCUCAUUUGGGGCACACCCAAAUUCCCAAGGCAGUUAAAAGCCUCAAGUUGCUCAACUGUGUCAGGAAAAGCCUGGGCCAUCGCUUCUCGCAUGGGGGCUGAACCCACACUUUGGUGACCAGAGUCUGGCCUGUCUGGCCUGUCUGGCCUCUGAGCUGUUAGGAACACACUGUCGGUGUCCCACAGUCCAUACCAGGAGGAAGGAGCGGUGAUUCUGAUGAACAAGGGACAGCUGUUCUCCAUUUGUCAUUGUCAAGCUCUGAUGCCUUUGGGGACUAAGGCUGAAGGACAGUUUUGACUGCUGUAAUCAGACAAACUGAAGGAAACCAAGAACGCCACCACCCCCUUUAUUCUGGGACUUUUUUUUGUCAUUUCAGUAAACAAGGGCUUGUGACCAAAUGUACCUAAUUCCCCCUCCCCCACAUCACACCCUGUCAUCCAGGCUGGAAUGAAACAAGCCGGCAAGAAACGUGUCGCCUCUACCUAGGCUCAUUUCAGCUUUCAGCAUCUUUUGAGGGACACCUGUGACCUAAGACCCAUGGCCCAGCUCUACCCUCCCACCCCAGCCGCACAUACAUCCGUCCUGUGAUGUAAAUGCCUCAGUGGCCCUCGGGAGUCUUUGGCGGCUCCUGUUCUGAUCUGAAAGCUGUCUGGCUGGGCUUCUUCCAGGGAGCUCACUCUAUAGACCAAUGCCCUGCAGCCAUGUUUGUUUUGACUGUUGGCCUGGCCCUGUUCCUGGCGAGCACUGCAGCUGGCCUGGCGAGUACUCCCUCUCUUUUGCCUUAUAGGAUAUUAACCCAUCAGAUUUCCAAGUGAUAUGGGCUGAGAGCGGGCACACUGGGGCAGAUCUGGAUGACCCCGUGGGCUGAGACUGGGCACACUGGGGCAGAUUUGGAUGACCCCGUGGAAGAGUGGGCACACUGGGGCAGAUCUGGAUGACCCCGUGGGCUGAGAGUGGGCACACUGGGGCAGAUCUGGAUGGUGCCGUGGGCCCAGGAGGGUGGGGUCGGGGAGUCUGGCCCAGGGGAUUUUAGGGUUCCAGGCUGGGGGAUUUGGAGGCCAUUUCCCAGCAGGACCCGGUAUGAACUCCUCCCGGGACUUCCCCAUGGCCUAACCCACUUGGUUCCUCUAGCUUGUAUUUUGCUUCUGCUGAUUCCCCAUGCUGUUCUUGGAAACUUGCAGUGGCACACAGUGUUUGCUAUUACAUUCAGGAGGUUGGAAUAACUUUACAGCAAAAGUCAGGGUGCCUGUGGGGUGCCGAGGAUAACUUUUGUGUCCCCAUUUUGUUCUCUCCAGGCUGCCAGCUGUCCUUGGCUUGGGGACCCUUCCUCCAUCUUGCAGAAUGACUGUAAUAUUCACCUCCACCUUCUCUUCUUUGACCUCGUGUCUCCAUCUUUGAAGGCCUGGGUGAUAACAAAAUUGUGUUUAAGGACCAGAGACUGCAAGGUUUCUGGAUCCACAGCAUCACAGGCAGAAGAAGGGAUGAAAUGCAUGGGAUCUCUCACUGAGUCAGCCUUGCAUAUGCUCUGAGCACUGUCCCCACGCUGCCAAAGUAGGCUAGUUCACACCACUGCAGAGCCCGGUGAGAAUUAAGGACACUAGAUGCUCCCUCCACUGCUGAGGCCCAGGUCAGGGUGGGAUUGCUGCGGGGGCAGGGAUUGAGUCAAACCUUGGAAAUGACGUCAUUCUGGACUCACCUGCCUUCACCCGGAAGACUCCCACCCCACCAGCAAAUAACCCCCAGUGCCCUACGAGUCAGGCUUUGGUCCCUGGGACUCCAUUCAACCCCCAACCCCCACUGUAGAUGGAAGUUUCUGUCCUGCACCAUCCUGCAGUCCCCCAGGUCAUCUCUAGCUGGGGGGGGGGGAUUGAUUUUGAUUAUAUCAUUUUCAGUCCUUAGAUUUCCAUUUUCUCUUAUCUAUUGUUUUCAUUUGUUUCAAGCGUACACGAGUGCUGUCACUGCUCUUUGUAGCAUUCUUAUGAUGGAUGCUCUAAAACUAAAGUGUUUGUCAGAUGGGGCUGAGUGUGCUGCACACCUUUAAUCCCAGCAUUUAGGAGGCAGAGGUAGGCAGAUCUCUGAGUUUGAGUCAAGUCUGCUCUGCAGAGUGAAUUCCAGGACAGCCAGGGCUACACAGAGAAACCCUGCCUUGAAAAACAAAACAAACAAACAAACAAAAGAAUUUUGUCAGAUAAUAUUGCAUCUCAGUAUUAGAAUUUAUUGUCCCUUCUUCAUUCAGUUUAAAAUAUUCCUGGAUUUUAGCAUGCAUAUUUUCCAUAGAGAUCCUGACAUUUGAGCAUCUUAUAUUUUGUCUUCCAUUUAUAACUGGCUUCCUAACAGAGCUCCCUCACAUAGGAGAGGCUGGGGUGUGGGAACCAGCUCAUUAAGGCCAGGUAGGGGUGGAAGCCCAGGUUCUAUACCAGCUUCUGCUGGCAUCUGAAGAGUUGGUCUCCUUAUCCCUGGUGGGGUACAAGUCCAGGCUCCCUGAUAAUGUCUACCUGACACCAGGGAGACCUGUUGCCCUUGGACAUGGAUGAAAAGUCUCAGCUCUCUAUUCAAACUUCUUGAGUACCAAACUGGAGAGGGAUGGGUGAGCAGAGGAGUUCCCCUGGUGACCGUGGGAAUCCAGGUGUGUCGCCCCCCACCACCACUUAGCCUUUGCCUAUGGGGUGGGCUCGUGCUGUGUGUUUUCUGUAAUGGAGCCUAGAGUGGAAUGCUAUUGCCUGAGACUGUCUGUCUUCUAGACCACCCCUUUCUAGGAGAGAGUAGGUUUGAACUGAUCGCCUGUGUCUAAAUAUAUGAGACAAACGAACAGAGAAAAUGCUCUGCCAUGGUGUUCCUCUGGUCCCGAGGUUGUUAGUUUGUCUUCUCUCUUCCUUCCAGAGCCUUUUGUAUUCUCCCUAUGUAAUAAUACCCAGACUUCCUAGCGAUGCUCUGCAGGAGGGAGAGACAGGAAUGUCUGCUUCCUGAAAGUGUAAGUUUUCAUUUUUUCUUAUGGAAAAGCAAAAACAAACAAGAAAACCAAACCCAAACAAAACAAAAAAACCUAGAUUACCUUUGCCUGCUUUAGACUGUCAUGUGAUGAAUGGAAAUAAGGAUUGUGCUCUCGUCUCUGCUGUGUUUGGAGUCUAUUCUUGUUUUAUAAUUCAUCCUUUCUAUUGCUGAGUGCUGACCAGUAUGUUGUAUGUAGACAUGCAGCAGCUUGACCAGAGUCCUGUUGAACAUCUGAGUAGUUUCUGAUUUGGGUUAUUACGAAUAGAGCAAAGAAGAGUUAUUUUAAUAAAGUGAUCUCCCUAAACAUACAGUACUAAGUAAUAACAAUGUUUCAAAAUAAACAUUUAUUUGUGACAUGCUGUCCUAGUUUUGUUCUGUUGCUGUGAUAAAACACUCUGGCCAAAAGCCACUUAGGGGAAGACAGGGUUGAUUUGUCUUUCUCUUACAGGUCACAGUCCUUCAUUAAAGGAAGUCAAAGCAGGAACGAAGCAGAAACCCUGAAGAACACUGUUUGCUGGCUUGUUCAGCUUCAUGCUCAGCCAGUUUUCUUACACAGCCCAGGAGCACAGGCCUAGGGAAUGAUGCUACCCACGGUGGGCUGGGAUCUAUACCAAGUAACUAGUCAACCCCCACAGGCGUGCUCUCAGUCCAAUCUAAUCUAGACAAUCCCUCAAUUAAGACUCCUUUCUCAGGUGACUCUAGGCCACAUUAAGUCAACAAUUAAAACCAGUAGGGUUGGAGUUGGCUCGUGCUUAAAAGCACUUGUUCUUGCAGAGGACUUGGGUUUAAUUCCCAGCACCUACAAGGUUGCUCACAACUGUCUAUAACUCUAGUUCCAGGAGAUCUGAUGCCUCUUCUAACUUCUGGCACCAGGCACCAGGUAUGGCAGUGGAGUUGGAAACGCACAGUCACAUGUGGUGCCUAGAGCUUCAGGUGUGUGUGCUGUAUAUAGGCCACAUUUUGUCUCUUUCUGUAACUGAGAGCUUGGUGAAGGCUCAUCAGCCCACACGUUCUGUUGUCACCACCAUACCCUCAGAAGAGCUGCGGGUCCUGUGCAAAUCCAGACCCAGUCACUCUUUAGGUGUUAAUCCCAUUUAACUUUUGUAGUACUGGGGACCAAGGAGCUGUCUCCCUGUCCUCCUUUUUUAAUUUCUGAGACAGGGGAGUGCUAAGUUCCCAGGCUAACCUCGAACUCACUCUGUAGCCCAGGCAAGACCUGAGCUUAAUAAAAUCCUCUUACCUCAUCCUCCUGAGUAGCUGGGAUUCCAGGCUUAAACUACCAGGCCUGGUUUAAUUCAUUUAGUUCUCACAGCAACCUCAUCACAGUGGCAGGCGGUUUAGUACACUUUGCUUCUAGAUGGAACACUGGAGAUGUGGAGAGGUUAGCCAGGUGGCCCAAAGUUGGUGAGAAGUGAACACAAAACAGUAAGUUAGACUUGUGUGGCUCCAGUUACCUUGCUUUUCCCCUUCCUUUUUGCUACAAGGUUUAUUGUUUGAAUAGAGUGUCUGCUGGGGAUCAGAGUUUGAAGAAGUCUGAAGAAGGUUCUAGAAUCUAUCUUUUCCUUGGUUUCUAAGAAAGAAAUGGGGGAGGAGCCAGUCCAGUGUCAGUUCUGGGAUUGGAAUUCUAGGAAGGAUUCAGUCUGUGGACCUCCAUCCACAUGGAAGGCGCAGGGGGUCAGGGCUCAAGGGAGAUGGGGGGCAUGAUAGCUGCUUGGAUUCUGGAGAUGGAAAAGCCUGGGCUCAAAUCCAGACUCGACUGACAGACACUGAGUUUGGGCAUACUGCUGAGUUCUCCCAUUUCCACAUUUACAAAAUGGUGACUAACAUCUCCCUGGAGAUUUGCUGGAAAGCUCUCUCCUCUGGGCUUACCCAGAAAUGCUGGAAGCUGCUCUCUGCCCAGCCAAAGCCAAUGAGCUGUCCCCCUCCACCCACCUACCCCCAUGCUGAGCCAGGAAUCCAGUACAAGCCAAAUGCCCACAGAAUCCCAGAACAAUGGGGAAGCUGCCUCCAUGUCCAAGGAGCAAUCUGCCACCGGUGACAUGGUGACACCUCUGCUUUAGACAGGUGGCCACCCAGAUAUUUGGUCUUACCCAGCUGGCAGCUGUUUUUUCCUGGUCUUUCUUUGUCUAAAUGUUGGAGUACAGGUCCAGUCUCAGAACUGGAUUCUAGGCAGACCAGGCGUGACAUGGCAGCCAUGGGAUGCUCUCAUUUACUUGGGGUUCAAGUGUGUGCACCCUUGUUAACACAUGAGCACUCACACAUGUUUAUACAUGCAUUUGUAAGUGUGAACACACACAUACAUGCACACUCACAUACGCACAUGCGUGCACGCACACACACAGUCCCCAGUGGACACAACUUGCCCACAGGCUCAUUAGAACCAUCUCAGCGCUCUCAGAAUUUGUUAGUAGCUCAUCUUUUUUCAUUCUUUCUUUCAUCCUUUUUUUUCUUUCUCACUACGUACCCCCGACUCUCCUGGAACUCACUAUGUAGAACUACACAGAUUCUCAUUGAUCCUUCCGUCUCUGCCUAUUCAAUGCUGGGAUUAAAAGCUUGCGAUGCCGUGUUGAUUGAGGAGUUCAUCUUUUAAAAUCCUGAGUGACUAUCGAUGAUUAAUGUUUAUAUAUCUGGUCUCCAUUUGGUGGAACUGUUUGGGAAGGAUUAGCGUAUGUGACCUUAUUGGAGGACGUGUGCUAUGGAGGGUGAGCUUUGCAGCUUCAAAAGACUCACACUGUUUCCAAGAUGCUCUCUGCUUCUUGUUUGUGGGUCGAGAAGUGAGCUCUCGGCUCCUCCUGUGGCUGUGUCGUUGUUCCGCUAUCACAGGUGCUAGCCCUCCGGAACUGGAAUCCCAGCUAAAGCUUUCUUUUUCUAUAAGCUGCCUUGGUUGUGGUGUUUUGUCACAGCAACAAAAAUGUAACUGUGACGCUGCAUCCGUGUGUCCGUCACUGGCUGAUGUGGGUCUAGAGAGUAGAUACUGGAGUGUCCAGGCUCUUGGACCUCUCUCCUCUUUACAGUGCACUGUACAGAGACACACGGAUAGUUACAGGGGUGGAGGAAGUUUAUUCAAGUGGAGACACUGGAGGCCUGGAGGUGUGCCAUGUCGCCCCUGUGGCCCAGCUCCAAGACAGAAGAGCAAGAUGGGCUGAGGUGAGGCCUCUGCUAACAUUAAGUGAGCCACUAACCCAGUGCCCUCCUCUUCCAGGUAAGGAGAGGGCUGUUCAGAGCAUGCUGUCCUGGAUGAAUGAAGCUCAGGGGGACUAAAGGCCACAGUCUUUCCCCACUGCCUUUUGUGUGUCCAUCUUUGGAAUUUCCUCUACUGUUUUCCAGCCUCCUGGCUGCUCAAGCCUCCGCAGAUCAGGGCCAGCUCUCGGCUCAGGCUCCAGACCACCACCCACCUCCUGGCAAGGCCAGGGAAGGUAAACAAGGAAGAGCUUGCACUAGAAGGCCAGGAGAGCCAGUGCUUGAGCCCAGGGGCAAGGGGCCUGUUGACACCCACAGGCAGCUGGCCAGGCCCCUGACAGCCACACUGCCACCUCCUUUACAGAAUGACAGCUGAAAGCUUGAUCAGCCAAGCCUCCACGAAACCCCGAAUGGCUCUGUUCUUCAUUCUAGGCUUCUGCUGCAGGAACCAAAGAAGUUGUGCCAAGCCCAUCCUGCUUGGGGCUUGGCACACAGCAGUCGCCCACAAGUGCUCUGCACUCCAAAGGCAGCUUCAGGGGCCAGCAGCUGAGUGUGUUGGUGCUGUAACAGAGCACAAAGCCACAAGGCUGAAAAAAGCGGGGCCACAGUGGGCUCAUCCUCUCUGGGUGGGGGCAGCCUCUGUGGGUGCUGAUUUUAAUUGGAGUGGAGGCAAGAGAGACAAAUGUUGGGAUUUUUGUUUUUAACCUGAGCUGAGACAUAGAAGGAGGUAACCGCUGGCUGUGAAAAGAGCCUUGGUCAUAAACGCAUUUAUCAUCAAUUAACACCUCCAGGUCCUGAGGCUGGCCGAGCAGCUGGCACCAGCAGCAACAGUUUUAACACCACACUGGCCUCUGCUUCUCCCUAAGUGGAUGUAGAGUAGCUGAGUGAUUGCUAAUGUGUUCUUAGUUAAUAUAGGGCGGAGGUGAGUUCCAGGACAACCAAGAAGGCACUUCUCCAUUGUCCCUACCCCUGGGGCACUCACAUGGCAGAGUGACCCGGAAAAGUCUAAGAGGAUAGAAUGUGCUUGAAUGUUUAAUUACUCGCCUGCCCCUGAGGGAAAAGGGCAUGGGCUUUAUGUUUUACACUUUAAAAUGUAUUUUAAUAAGUCACCUGUACACAUCGUACAAGUAAAUAAUCUAAACCAAUGUGCAGAGAAGGCCCUCCCCCUGCCUCUGUCUGUCGUUUUGAAGUGUGUAUGCGUGUGUAUGACAUGGGGGAAGGGGCUCAUAUGCCACAGCAUGCAUAUGGAGGUCAGAGGAAAACUUGGUGAAGUCAUUUCUCUGGGGCCUCGAACUCAGAUCCCCAGGUUUUUGUGGCAAGCAUCUUUAGCCACUGAGCCACCUUGCAGGUCCCUGCCUCUUGGAAAUUGUCUGCCUUCCACGGCGAUCCUGUUUCCCAGGAUCGAAUGGAGCUAUUUCUGGCGCACGCGAGGUAGGACACUUGAGUUUGUUACAUGAAGGAUAGUGUGCUGUGCCACUGUUUAUUUAACCCAGUUGCAGAAUGUCAGGCGUUCGGGUCUGUGUUUAGUCUUCAGGGAGUACAGGCGAUGCUGCCUAAAGAGCUUUAGGGGUGCACACGGCUCCCACCUGCGUGAGCAUACCUCCCGACGAGUUCUCAGAGGCUGAGCUCUCAGGUGGGGAGAAGCCUUUGUAAUGUUGAUCGAUAACUGUCAAAUCAUGCUCUGCCACAAUCGCUCUAUUUAGCAAGCAAGCAGCCGGCAGAAGGAUGCGGUUUCCAGACAUGCUUCAGAUACAGCACGUGAGAAAAAUGUGACAGUCCCGAAGGUGAAUGGCGAUACCUCGGUUUAGAUUUCAGUUGCCUCUUUUUCCCAUUCUGUGGAGUUAAGCCUCUCUUCAGAUGCUUAUGAUAUUGUAUUUCGGUCUCUGCGCCGCAGGUGCCAGGAUGGCCAAGUGAUCUAAGAUGCCAGGCUCCAUCGCCACAUCGCGUCAGCUCUUUCUUUUUGCCUGUGCUUGCAUGGGACACUUAGGUUGUCGAGGGCUUGUUUUCAAUUGAUUUAUUACAAUCUUUAAGCUAGGGAUUUGCCGGUUGUGUGAGGUGUUGAUUUUAAGUGACUGUCAGGUGGAGUUAUGUGUUUAUGGGAGGUUUGGUCAUGAGGACUGUGCUGAUUAACCUUCAGUGUCAACACGACUGGAUUUGGGGUGUCUCUGAAGGUGAUCCCAGAGAGGCCUAACUGAGGAGGGGAGACCCAGCCUGUUUGCAGGUGGCACCAAUCUGUGUACCGGGAUGCCAGACUGAAUAAAAAGAGGAAAAGGAAGGCCGGAGAUUGGUUGGCAUUGCCUGCUGUCUGCUUCCUGGCUUGUUCACACAUGGGGAGUCCCAGCUGUCGGUGGCCUCUGCCAUUUCUUCCCUCCACGAUGGACUUCACGCUAUCAAAUCCUCGCUAAAUUAAACCUCCAUCCACUGCUCUUCCACUCUGAAUGCACUCUCUCCAUCGCAUGCAGUCUAGCUAGCCAGCUUGUCCGUCCCUGGAGCUGAGAUUACAGGUGGCCACCACACCCACUGACACGCACGUGGGCACGCCACACCCACCAACACACAUGGGCAUGCUACACCCACCAACACACGUGAGCACUUGGGAUCUGAAUUCUCCUCACACCUGACUGGAGCCAUCUUCCUAGCCCAAAGUUUCAUCUUCUAAAUGCAACUGAUUUCAUCAGCUUCCCCCCUUUUCAGCUUUGCAUUUUUGUGUGUUCAUAUAAAAACAUUCCCCCCUACAAGAUGAAAAAGACUUUUCUUCUAGUUCUUUCAAUUUAUAUGUAUGUAUUUUUCAUUAUGUAUCUCACACUCUGUUUUUGUUUUGUUUUUUGCCCUGUUGUCCCACUGCCGCUCACCAACUAGCCCACCUCUGCUCAGGGACUCCAAAUAACAUCUUGACCUCAGCCCUUGACUGUGCUUAGCUCUUCUCUGGGUUUCUCCUCUGAGGAACAAGGGUGCUUUUUAAUGAAUUACAUGCAAAGGCUAAGCUUAGAAGCCCAGACUGGGAAACAACAUUCUUAUAAAUGGUUUAACAUGUAGGAAUUGCUUCUUGCUUCAGAAAAAUCCAUGUUCUUUGUGUUCUGAGAUUUCCAUUUUAUCACAUUUUUUAAAAGUAAAAGAUUUAUUGGGGUGCUCAUGCACUUGAAUGCAGGUUUCUGUGGAGUCCAGAAGAGAGCAUCAGAUCCCCUGGUCCUGGAGUCACAUCAGACAGUUGUGAGCCACCCAAAGCCAGGUCCUCAGGAAGGGCAGUGCUCACUCUUAACUCUGAGCCUUCUCUCCAGCCCACUAUUCUAUCACAUUUUAAAGCCUGCUUCCCCUCAUCUGCUCCCUUGUGACUAGUCCCUGCAGCUUUAAACAGAAGAGUUCCUGCUGCUUGCCCUACAUGAAAAUGUUCCAUCAAAAUGACCUAACUCAGGAGGAUAACAGAAAGAAAGGAGGAAGGAGGAGGGAGCCUAAACCCCAGGCAGGAGCAGAAGACUUCCCCAUUGGGCCUCUCGGAAAGGCAGGAUGUUGGCUGUUGAUGCCCACCGGAAGCCUUGACUCUCCCCUUGGGGUCCAAGUCAUCUGGUUACUCUGGUUUUCUUCCUAGUGGUCUUGUGUGAGACAGAAGGAGAUACCUGUUUUAGAAGGCUGAAGCAGGACUCUUUGGAACCGGACACCAUCCAUGUGUGGACAGGUGCCACAGCCCCUGAGGAGCCAUGUCUGAUCCAGGGUGACGUAAUUGUUUCCUGUUACUACUUCAGGCAGCACGGGGCUUCCAGCAGCACUGAGGCCCCCUGUGGCUCUCAGCACACACUGGAGCGCUUUGUAUCAAUUCUAUUUUCUUUUUUUUGAUUCGUUUUACUCAUGUGUGUGUACACGUGCCUGUGUAUUAUAUGCAUGCACAUGCAUGUGAAUAUGGGCACCCAUGGAGGGCAUCAGAUGCCCUGGAGCGGGAGGUACAGGCAGUUGGGAGCCACUGAGAUGUGGGUACUAGGAAGUGAAGGCCAGUCCUCUGCAAGAGCAGCAAGUACUCUUAACAGCCGGGCCAUCUCUCUGUCCCUAGUGCCAUUUUCUCAAUGUUUUUGUCUUUACUUCCCCAACCUCCAAAGAAGAAUUUAAUCUGUCGGCCCACCACUAUAGACAGCUACCAGAAAGAAAGAAUUAUUUAAAUUAACUUUUCUUCUCUCUAUGUAAGUAUAAGAGUGAGGGAUAGUUAGUUCGUAGAGUACUUGCCUAGCCUGCAUGAUGUCCUGGAUCCAAUCUCUUGGGCUGCAUAAGCCAAGCAUGGUGGUACACACCUGUGAUCCUAGCACUGGGGAGAUGAAGGCAGGAGGACCAGAAAGUCAAGGUCAUCAUUGGCUUCAUAGAAAUUUCUGGGCCAGCCUCAGUUAUGUGAGACCCCAUUUCAAAAGCCAAAUAAAUAAAUAAUUUAAAAGUGUAUUUCAAUUUACAAAUGUAUUGUGGUCAACUGCUUAUAACUAUACACAAAUUUUUUUUGAAGCAUCACCCUGAGUUAAAAUCAUCUCAGCAAGCCCUCUUGACAGCUCUGGGAGCAGGAAUUAUGAAUUUACUCACAAAUGGGCAAGGAAACAAAUGUUGAAUAAAGCAUAGAACUUGAUUCCACAGCUAGUACAAGAACAUGGAGAGUCGGGCCCAGCGUGUGUAGGAAAUGUUCCCACUUACAUUGUGGUCCAUGGCCCUAAGCCUUGUCCUUACUGUCUUCUCACUCAUAGUGUGACUGAGGUUUAUCCCCCAAAGGUUCAUGUGCUAAAGUUUAGUGUAGAGGCGCUGAGGUGGUAGGAUAGUUAAGGGGUGGAGUCUACUAGUGGGCGACAGUUAGGACGUGAGGCGUGUUAGGAUACGGAGUGUUCUAUCGUUAUUCUCGGGGGACCAUGUCAGGUCUUAUGGAUCAAUUCUUCUAGGGAUGGUUUCUAGAUGAGAACCUGAGCCUUUCUUUGAAUCAAUCGCUUUGCUGUACUCACCACCUUCACCACAGGUGACUUGAUGACCUUACCAGAGCCAAUGCCCUGCUCUUGAACAGUCAGAACUGUGAACUGAAUAAAGCCCUUUUCGUUAGAAGCACUCCACCUCCUAUAUUGUUACCAUAACACAAAAAGAGACUAUGAAAGUCGCUCUGAGAGAGACCUGAUAUCUUAAUAUUUUUAUUUGCUUUUGGCUGCAUAUAUGUUUGAACAUUUUCCAUGUUUUAUAAAUCAUUUGUCUUGAUUUUCCUACUGUCUUUCCCCAUUUUUCAAUGUCUUCUCCUGUGUGUGUGUGUGUCUGUCUGUGUGCAUGUGUGUAUAUGUGUGUCUGUCACAUAUAUUCUUCAAUUUUAUUCUUAACUUUUAACUCUAUUGUAGUUAUCCAGGCCUGAGAAAUUUUAGAUAAACUUGCAGUGCUCCUCCUGCAUCUGUGUCUUGGGCUCUGACACUGCAGUCAUGAACCAUCAUUCCCAGCUUGUUCCCAUUAUUUAAGAGGUAAUGUCCCUCCUGUGUAAGGAUAAAUGUUCACUCCUAUCUUUAAGGUGGAAAGUGGAUUUGCUUUCUGCAUUUAAUUCCUUACUCUGUCCAGAAGUUAUUGGCAAUCCCCCCCCCCCAAAAAGUCUAUUUAGAAGAACCUUGAGCAGCAUGUCUGCAUCCUUUAUUUGCUCAGACACACUUGCUACCUGGAAGAGUGUUUUCUCAUCAUCCAAUUGUAUGUGUGUCAUGUCUCAUAUCCGGACUAGAGACUGAGGGUCAUGCCCAAUAGAGACACGAAUUCCAACUAAAGCCACAUUAACUUUUAGAACUCCCUAUUACUGAAUACCUUCAAGUCCAUGGCAUAUAAAUCAUUGGUUGUUUUUGUUCACAGAGCCAGACAGUUGCUCUGAAUUCUCACUGAACUGUAGAGCUGUGUCUACCAUGUAGCUAGAGCUUGAUGUGUAACUUCUCAUCUUUCAGUAUUAUUCCUGUUUGCAUCUCCAGGUAUGAGAGAAUUCCAUCUGACCCCUAACUCCAAGCCCCUAGAGCAUGUUGGUGUCUUGGAUUCAACCAUGUCAUUAUUGGACAUUUGAGUUCUUUUACACAAAGGUGACUACCCAACUGACCAUGCCUGAACCAGUACAUUCUUCUUGGCUGUAUUUUUAAAUUCUCAGAAUUUUUCUUAACAAAUAUUACAUCUGAAUGUUUAUUGGUGUUGGUUUGAGCUUCUUAUUUCAUCCUAUUAAAACCAGUUUGAGUCUCA